RNAcentral lists this ribosomal RNA (496 nucleotides) under uncultured bacterium. RNAcentral's name for it is "partial 16S ribosomal RNA". It matches the Rfam family "Bacterial small subunit ribosomal RNA", at positions 28 to 506 of the family's 1533-position model. The record is from RNAcentral.
GAUGAACGCUGGCGGCGUGCCUAAUACAUGCAAGUCGAGCGAACGGACGAGAAGCUUGCUUCUCUGAUGUUAGCGGCGGACGGGUGAGUAACACGUGGAUAACCUACCUAUAAGACUGGGAUAACUUCGGGAAACCGGAGCUAAUACCGGAUGAUAUUUUGAACCGCAUGGUUCAAAAGUGAAAGACGGUCUUGCUGUCACUUAUAGAUGGAUCCGCGCUGCAUUAGCUAGUUGGUAAGGUAACGGCUUACCAAGGCAACGAUGCAUAGCCGACCUGAGAGGGUGAUCGGCCACACUGGAACUGAGACACGGUCCAGACUCCUACGGGAGGCAGAAGUAGGGAAUCUUCCGCAAUGGGCGAAAGCCUGACGGAGCAACGCCGCGUGAGUGAUGAAGGGCUUCGGAUCGUAAAACGCUGUUAUUAGGGAAGAACAUAUGUGUAAGUAACUGUGCACAUCUUGACGGUACCUAAUCAGAAAGCCACGGCUAACUACGU